UUUAGUUUAUCCAAUUUCAUGGUGCCAUGCAACCCAAAUGGACCAUGCCGGGUCGGGUCAAGUACAUACCAGAAAUAGUUAUGGACUUAGACACCUUAUCCAACAACUAUGACACAAACGGCCUCGUAAUACAACGUUCUUCAGGCGUUGCAAGUUAAAUGACACUUGUAACCUCAGACCUGCCGGUCUAGCUGUUGCAUGCAGCUCGGGUGUGGGUUUGUUCGACCCAAUAUAGAUCUAUACACAACUAUCACGUUCUCCCUACAAGAGACUCUGGUUACAAUUUACAGGACUUUUGAUUUUGUUAUAUGGAUGUAACACAAAUCGAGUGUCUCAAAAAUUUAUUCAUUAACAGAUUUACGUGAACUGAGAACCUUUGGUAAAGAGUUUGAUAUGUAAUGAAACAUAAACUAUACCUAGUAUAGUUUAUUAUAAUCGUUUAUAAUGUAACAACAAGAUAAAAUAUACUUCGAUAGUUUAUCAAAUAUUUGCAUGCCAUGGUUGUAAACUUUGUUUAUAACAUUAAAGUAAUUUACCAUUCUUGAGAAGGUAAAAAUCUAUUUUUCUACUGAUACAUGUCUAAUUACCAAGACAAAAUAGCAUAUAAUGUAAUAAUAUAUGAUCACAUAAUGAUAUACACCUUGAUCAACAAAUUACAAGGUGGAAUGAAAUUGAUAGCAUUUUUCUGUUGUUAAAAUUUUCUAUUGCUGUUCUUAGAAAAUUUAUUGAAAAAUUAUCAAAGGUCCAAAUCAAAAUCCGUAAAUUCUGGCAGUUUGGAAAAUGAGUCUAGUUUGUUCAUAAUUUUUAUUAUGAUUUUUAGUGACCUCAAACUUGUGUGAAAAAAGUCCAUAAUCACAUACUGGUCCAGAUUCGUUCUUGAAAUGAUAGACAGUUUUGUAAAAAUCACCAUAUAUUGUAGAAAAAUAGUAUGGAGAUGUGCAAGUAGUCAUUUUAAAUUUAAGAACUUGAACUAUUUUCACCUAGUAUAGUUUUGAAAACUAAAAUGUUUAAGUUGCCCAAAACUGUCCGUGAAUGGAGUCCAACUUUUCUGAUGAAAGCUGUUGGAAGAGUUUAGUUGUUUUCUUGUUGUUCUAACUUGUAUUCUCCCCUUAAAAAUUAAGAAAACAUGGAAAGAUAGGGGUAUGAACUCACCUUAUUUGAUUUCAGUGGAUGGAUAUUGAAGAAGAGAAGUGUUCAACUCAAGAACACUUAGAAGAUACCUUGAAGAACCGAGAACCUAACAUGAAGGUGACGAUGUUUGUGUAAGGUUCUUAUGAUUUUGAGUAGAAGGGUGUGUAAUAAUCAUAAGAUGAAUGAAUUAUAUUUACCAAGAGUGGAAGAAAGUUUGAUGAUCAGCCUUGGAAGUCUCGAAAUUUGGAGAGAAUUGUGAGUGAAUUUGGAGUGUGAUCCUUGGAGGAAAAAUGAGAGAAUGAGGGAAGUGUGAGGUGAGAGAGGGGGUUGUCCAGCUCUUAGGACAUCAUUAUGGCUGAGAAAUGAGUGGGAAAAGUACUCUUGAAUGACCAGGUAUGGUGGGGAGGGGUCUGGGUUAGUCAUGGAGUGGGUAUGGGGGUGGUUGCUUGUGUUUAACACUAUGGGAAAGUCAACACUCUACCACAAGAUCUUACUUAAUGGAUUUUUUUCUUAAAUAAGGAUUUCCUUAAAAAUAUGUUGAAUUUAUGAAUACAUGGGACCUUAUAUGUCAAAAUAUUAGUUUGGGUGAAAAUCCCCCUUUAAAAUAAUAAAAAAAUGGGCUUAAAACGGAGUCGUGGUCGAAAACCGGGUGAAAAGUGGAAAAUCCGAAGUCAACAGGGUGACUCCGGUCUUAACAGCCUUAGGUCCGAAGUGGGUUUUGGUCGCUGAAGUGGAUACGAAGGGUAACGGACUACGGUCCGAGCAGGUACCGCAGGUGGGUUUGUCAGGAGGGUCCGAAGAGAAGGUUGGUUGCGGUGUGAGGUUCCAGGUUCGGUUCCGCUGCAGUCUUCAGCAGCCUCGACCUCGCAGCUCCAGUCCUUAACCAUUGCAGGCCGAAGGCUGCGGUUCCUUAAGGGGCUGCGGUCAGAUGGUUGCGGCUACUCAAGGAGACUCCGAUUUUGCUUCUUGGGACCUCGGUUCAAGGAGGGUUUGGCCCCUAUAAAGAGGCUUCGGCUCUAAAAGGCUAUUUUCCAAGAUAUCACCCCUUUUCGAGUGGUUUUUCACCAAGUCAAGUGUCGGGAUGCCCCAAAUGAUUAUAAAACUCAAAAGACGUUUUGAGACAGACUUGGGAGACAUUUCACAUACUUGGAGAGAUUUCACAUACGGAGAGAGAUUUGGGAGAGAUUCCACAUUCUUGGAGAGAUUUGGGAGAGAUUUGACAUACUUGGAGAGAUUUCACAUACGGAGAGAGAUUUGGGAGAGAUUCCACAUUCUUGGAGAGAUUUGGGAGAGAUUUGACAUACUUGGAGAGAUUUCACAUACAGAGAGAGAUUUGGGAGAGAUUUUUAAUAUAGAGAGAUAGAGUGAAAGGGAUUUAUAGAGACUUCUUUGUGACCUUUUUGAGUGUUUGGCUUCGCAUCGCAAGGUCCGCAAGCCCCGUUAAGCCAUGUUUAAGGAUCUUACACACUCCCGAUGAGUAUGCAACAUUGUUUUAUCGGUUUGGUUCAUUACUUGCCACAGUUCUAGGUUAUGAAAUCUAGAUAUACAAACUUUUCAGUUGAUGAUUUCUUAUUAGAAUAGCGAGUUAUAUUGUAAUUACAUAGCGUAAACCCUAGUAUACAAGGGUUAACUGAGUUGACCGGUUUGACUGGUUGACUUUGACUUGACCAGAAUUUGACGGUUGUCACAUCAUCCCCUCGUUAGAGGGAAUUUCGUCCCAAAAUUUGCAUUUUAGCUGGGACUUCAAGAGUUCGGGAAGAGAUGUGGGUAUUUUUAUUUCAUUUGAUCCUCGCGUUCCCAGAUGAACUCGGGUCCUCGUUUUGCAUUCCAUAAAAACCUUCACAAUGGCAAUACGACUUUGCUUUGUUCUUUUGAUUUCCCGAUCCAUGAUCUCAACCGAUUCUUCCACGAAGUGGAGAUUCUCGUUAAAUUUGAUUUCCUCAAGUGGUAUUACGAGGGUCUCGUCGGAUAGGCACUUUUUCAUGUUUGAUACGUGGAAGGUAGGGUGUAGUUAUUAAGUUCUUGUGGUAGUCGGAGUUUGUACGCCACGAGACCAAUCUUGACAAGGAUUUCAAACGGAACGAUGUACCUUGGGUUUAGUUUCCCACGUUUACCGAAACGUAUCAUUCCAUUCCAAGGGGAAACUUUCAAUAGUACCCGAUCACCGACCUGGAAUUCCAAGGGUUUGAGUCAUUUAUCCGCGUAACUCUUUUGCCGAUCUCGGGAUGCUUUCAGUCUUUCCCGAAUUUGAACAAUCUUUUAUGUGGUGUCCCUUAUGAUUUUAGGACCAGUGAGGGUGCUAUUAGGGACUUGCCCCCUAGCUAGCUGAGUGUCCCCCACUUCUGCCCAACAUAGGGGUGAUCGGCACUUGUGACCAUAAAGAGCUUCGAAUAGGGCGACUUUGAUGGUAGUGUGAUAGCUGUUACUGUAGGAGAAUUCGAUAAGUGGUAAAUGGGUAUCCCUUGCAUUACCAAAAUCUAUCACAUAGGCUCUCAACAUGUCUUCAAGCUUUUGUAUGGUUCGCUCGCUCUGUCCAUCGGUUUGUGGGUGAUAAGUUGUACUCAUGUCCAACCUAGUGAUGGGUUUUUAGCAUUCUAACACUUCCUAAGUGUACAUGCAAACCUAAUAACCUUGGAUCUAUGUUCGUCUAAUUAUCAUCCAAAGUUGAUUUCCAAGUCUAUGAUCCUAUCUAGUAUACAUGGGGAACAAUUUAACUUGAAUAAUAGAUAGAACUACAUACCUUGUUGUUGAUAGUGUUCCUUGAAACCUUGUGAGCCUAGCACCUCAAGUGUGAUGCCUCAAAUGCUUCACACAACACCAAAUGCAAAGUAUAAACUUGAGAGAAUACUCUAACACACUCAAAAUCGUCCAAGCCCUCUUCUUUCACUUGUGUAGCCGAUUUUGGGGAGAGACAUGGUCUUUAUAUAGUGUGUUGCAUUAGGUAAAACCCUAAUGUAACAUGACUCUUCAUGUCUCAAUCCAUGGGUUAACUCCAUGGAGCAUCCAUGGAACAUCCUAUGGGUGGAGCCCAACUUGAUAAUCCAUGGAGGCUUUUAGCCCACUAUAUAAGAUAUGGAAGAUUUACAUAAUCUACCCAUAUAUUUAAUUAGUUAUCCUUUUGAUUACUUAAUUAAUUCAAAAUUAAUUCUUGAUCAAAAGUAAUUAAAUAAUAUUAUUAAUAUAUUAGAACUUAUAAUAUAUUAAUAAACCAUAUGUGUUAUUUCUCUCAUUUAGUUUAUCCAAUUGCAUGGUGCCAUGCAACCCAAAUGGACCAUGCCGGGUCGGGUCAAGUAUUUACCAUAAAUAGUUAUGGACUUAGACACCUUAUCCAACAGUCUCCCACUUGGAUAAGUCUAAUAACUAUAACUGCAGUACUUCAGGAACCGAUCGGCAAUCGUAGCUCUUUCAAGGUCUCUCGGAACUGAGAAGAUGUUGAUACACCAUUUA
This 4578-nucleotide long non-coding RNA is filed under the name Lactuca sativa (garden lettuce). RNAcentral describes it as "long non-coding RNA (LSAT_LNC008980)". The record is from RNAcentral. Lineage: Eukaryota; Viridiplantae; Streptophyta; Magnoliopsida; Asterales; Asteraceae.